This 479-nucleotide ribosomal RNA is filed under the name uncultured bacterium. Its description in RNAcentral is "partial 16S ribosomal RNA". It matches the Rfam family "Bacterial small subunit ribosomal RNA", at positions 28 to 523 of the family's 1533-position model. The record is from RNAcentral.
GACGAACGCUGGCGGCGUGCUUAACACAUGCAAGUCGAACGGUAAGGCCCUUCGGGGUACACGAGUGGCGAACGGGUGAGUAACACGUGGGUGAUCUGCCCUGCACUUCGGGAUAAGCCUGGGAAACUGGGUCUAAUACCGGAUAGGACCCUGGGAUGCAUGUCCUGGGGUGGAAAGCUUUUGCGGUGUGGGAUGGGCCCGCGGCCUAUCAGCUUGUUGGUGGGGUGAUGGCCUACCAAGGCGACGACGGGUAGCCGGCCUGAGAGGGUGACCGGCCACACUGGGACUGAGAUACGGCCCAGACUCCUACGGGAGGCAGCAGUGGGGAAUAUUGCACAAUGGGCGCAAGCCUGAUGCAGCGACGCCGCGUGAGGGACGACGGCCUUCGGGUUGUAAACCUCUUUCAGUAGGGAAGAAGCGAAAGUGACGGUACCUGCAGAAAAAGCACCGGCUAACUACGUGCCAGCCGCCGCCUGUAA